UUUGGAAUCUUCUGAUUAGUUUUUACAAAUAAAUAAAAACUUUCAACAACGGAUCUCUUGGUUCUGGCAUCGAUGAAGAACGCAGCGAAAUGCGAUAAGUAAUGUGAAUUGCAGAAUUCAGUGAAUCAUCGAAUCUUUGAACGCACAUUGCGCCCGCCAGUAUUCUGGCGGGCAUGCCUGUCUGAGCGUCAUUUCAACCCUCAUGCCCCUAGGGCGUGGUGUUGGGGAUCGGCCAAAGCCCGCGAGGGACGGCCGGCCCCUAAAUCUAGUGGCGGACCCGUCGUGGCCUCCUCUGCGAAGUAGUAAUAUUCCGCAUCGGACAGCGACGAGCCCCUGCCGUUAAACCCCCAACUUUCUAAGGUUGACCUCAGAUCAGGUAGGAAUACCCGCUGAACUUAAGCAUAUCAAUAAGGCGGAGGAA
This 421-nucleotide ribosomal RNA is filed under the name Hypocreales sp. nwa_ktma_12_2g. Its description in RNAcentral is "eukaryotic LSU rRNA". The stretch from base 38 to 191 matches the Rfam family "5.8S ribosomal RNA". The record is from RNAcentral. Lineage: Eukaryota; Fungi; Ascomycota; Sordariomycetes; Hypocreales.